GAUGAACGCUAGCUACAGGCUUAACACAUGCAAGUCGCGGGGCAGCAUGGGGGUUGCUUGCAACCCCUGAUGGCGACCGGCGCACGGGUGAGUAACUCGUAUCCAACCUGCCCUUCACCACGGGCUAACCCGGCGAAAGUCGGACUAAUCCCGUCUUUUGUCCAUUGACGGCAUCCGAUUUGGACGAACGUCUUGUCGGUGAAAGGAUGGGGAUGCGUCCGAUUAGCUUGACGGCGGGGUAACGGCCCACCGUGGCUACGAUCGGUAGGGGUUCUGAGAGGAAGGUCCCCCACACUGGAACUGAGACACGGUCCAGACUCGUACGGGAGGCAGCAGUGAGGAAUAUUGGGCAAUGGGCGUAAGCCUGAACCAGCCAAGUAGAGUGCAGGAGGACGGCGCUAUGGGUUGUAAACUGCUGUUAUGCGGGGAUAAAGUGGACAAAGUGUGGGCUUUUGCAGGUACCGCAUGAAUAAGGACCGGCUAAUUCCGUG
This 491-nucleotide ribosomal RNA is filed under the name uncultured bacterium. Its description in RNAcentral is "partial 16S ribosomal RNA". It matches the Rfam family "Bacterial small subunit ribosomal RNA", at positions 28 to 507 of the family's 1533-position model. The record is from RNAcentral.